CCGACCUCCCCUCGCCUCCGGAUUCCGGCCGCGCGGCUGCUCCCCGCUUCCCACUGGCGAGAGGCUGGAGGUGGUGAAGGAGUCGGGGAGCGGAGGCGGGGGGGGUGUCUGCCUUUUAACCCUCCCCAAGAGGUCGUGCCUCUGAGCCCCAAAGCUGAAGGCCCCUCUUGGGGGUGGGUGCGGGCCGGAGGGGCCCGAUCCUUUCAGAGCCGGGCCGAGGUGAAGGAAAAGAAGGAAGCAAGAAGAGCCAUUUGGAGUUAGAGGUCUCAGCUGUGAAGCCAGAACAAUAAAAAUAAAAACAGCGCGGACUCCUGGGCAGCCUGGACCAGGGAACCAACUGCCCCAAGAGUUGCUGCUCACCAGGCUGGAAGGUGAGGCAGCUGAGACUUCAGGAGGCCUCUGCUCACACGCCACCUCCUUGAGAUGCCUUGCCAGACCACCCUGUUAAAGUAGUCACCCCCACCCCUGCCCAAUAUGCCCUACCCUCUUCCCUAUUUUAUCUUCAUAGCAUGCAUCGCGGCCUGCUAAUAUUGUGUGUCUCCAUUGCAUUUUGUCUGUCUCCCUGACUAGCUCCAGGUCAGUUUAUCCUAGUGGCUUGCACUCCAGUGAUCUCUCAGACUAGCCCCGUGGGGCAAGUUAUUUUGAUGAUCUGUGCUUCCUUCGGGGUAAUGAUAGGACCUUACCUGAAAGGUUUCUUGUAAGGGUUAAAUGAGUUAAUAUCGGUUAAGUGUCGGCCACUGCCAUUGUUUUGUCCCAGAGCUGUAGCUCCAGGGUCUUCAACAGUAAACAGUAGGUUGUCAAUAAAUAUGUAUUAAAUUUAAAAACUGGGCUGGGCAUGGUGGCUUACACCUGUAAUCCCAGCACUUUGGGAGGCAGAGGUGGGAGGAUUGCUUGAGCCCAGGCGUUCCAGGCUGCAGUGACCUGUGAUUGUUCCACUGCACUCCAGCCUGGGCCACAGAGUGAGACCCUAUCUCUAAAAUAAUAAUAAGUAAAAAUAAUAAAUAAAUGAAGCUCUCUGCCCACGAUCCAAUCUCAGGGUAAGGAAUUGGCACAGCCUAGAUUUGAAGGUGGGUCUCUAUGAACCUGUGCUUCAAUCCAUCCCACUUCAUAAUCGCCUCUCCACAGGCCUCCAUCCAACCACAGCUGCACAGGCAUCAGAGCUUUGGUUCUACAACGUGAGCUGAUACCAAUAGCCCCUGGAGGGAUUGUUAAAACACUGAUUCCAGGGCCCUAGCCAUGGAGUGUCUGAUUCAGUAGGCCUUAGGUGAGGUCUGAAAAUCUGCGUUUCUAACAAAGUCCCAGGUGAUACUGACACUACUGAUUCAGGGAUCACACUUUGAGAACCGCUGAAUAGACUGCCAUUCAAGCCAAGCCAAUCCUCUUGGCUCUACCUUCAAAAUAAACCCAGAAUCCAACCACACCUUCCCACCUGCAUCACACUCCGGUCCCAGUACCUUCAUUUCUCACCUGGAUUAGUGCGGUCACUUCCUCACUGGCUCCGUACUUCCUGGACUCCCCACCUUGUUGCUUCUUCAAUAAAAGCCUCCCAAUGGCCUUCCACUCCUUCUCUUGGAGUAAAACCUGAAGUUCUCAAUGCAGCUCAAAAGGCCCCCUGUGAUCCCCUGCUUCACUGACCCGGUCUCCCUGCACUCUCCCCCUUGCUCACUCCACUCCAGUGAAUUCACCAUCUCAGUAUUCUUUGAACAUGCCCAGCAGGCGCCUACCCCAGGGCCUUUGCACGGGCUGUUCCCUGUGCCAAGAACCCUCUUCCCCAGCUAGCUGCCUAGUUUGCCCCUGACUCUUCCUUAGGGUCUAUGCUCAAAUAUCACCUCCGCAGAGAAGCAUGUCCUGACCACUCAGCUAAAACUGUCCCAUCACUUCCUAUUCCCUACUCCACUUUAUUUUUUGAUAGCAUUUCCAUUUCUUGACAGCAUAUCAAUGUUAUACAUUUGAUUGGUUGCGUGGCUCUCCUACUGAUCUUUGAGCUCCAUGUGAGCUCUUUGCCUUUGUUCGC
RNAcentral lists this long non-coding RNA (2014 nucleotides) under Pan troglodytes (chimpanzee). RNAcentral's name for it is "long non-coding RNA NONPTRT009090". Lineage: Eukaryota; Metazoa; Chordata; Mammalia; Primates; Hominidae. The record is from RNAcentral.